RNAcentral lists this ribosomal RNA (516 nucleotides) under uncultured bacterium. RNAcentral's name for it is "bacterial SSU rRNA". It matches the Rfam family "Bacterial small subunit ribosomal RNA", at positions 8 to 526 of the family's 1533-position model. The record is from RNAcentral.
AGAGUUUGAUCAUGGCUCAGGAUGAACGCUGGCGGCGUGCCUAACACAUGCAAGUCGAACGAAGCACCUUACUUGAUUCUUCGGAUGAAGGUCUGGUGACUGAGUGGCGGACGGGUGAGUAACGCGUGGGUAACCUGCCCUGUACAGGGGGAUAACAGUUGGAAACGGCUGCUAAUACCGCAUAAGCGCACGAGAGGACAUCCUCUUGUGUGAAAAACUCCGGUGGUACAGGAUGGGCCCGCGUCUGAUUAGCUGGUUGGCAGGGUAACGGCCUACCAAGGCGACGAUCAGUAGCCGGUCUGAGAGGAUGAACGGCCACAUUGGAACUGAGACACGGUCCAAACUCCUACGGGAGGCAGCAGUGGGGAAUAUUGCACAAUGGGGGAAACCCUGAUGCAGCAACGCCGCGUGAGUGAAGAAGUAUUUCGGUAUGUAAAGCUCUAUCAGCAGGGAAGAUAAUGACGGUACCUGACUAAGAAGCUCCGGCUAAAUACGUGCCAGCAGCCGCGGUAAUAC